AGUGAACGCUGGCGGUAGGCCUAACACAUGCAAGUCGAACGGCAGCACAGUAAGAGCUUGCUCUUACGGGUGGCGAGUGGCGGACGGGUGAGGAAUACAUCGGAAUCUACUUUUUCGUGGGGGAUAACGUAGGGAAACUUACGCUAAUACCGCAUACGACCUACGGGUGAAAGCAGGGGAUCUUCGGACCUUGCGCGAUUGAAUGAGCCGAUGUCGGAUUAGCUAGUUGGCGGGGUAAAGGCCCACCAAGGCGACGAUCCGUAGCUGGUCUGAGAGGAUGAACACACACAGGGAAUGUGAGACAGGGCCGACACCCCCAGGGGGGAGAGGUGGGGGAAAUUUGAGAAAAGGGGCAAAACCGUGCCACCCCCACCGCGUGGGGGAAGAAAGGCUUCGGGGGUUAAAACCCCUUUUUUGGGGAAGAAAAAAGGCACGGGUAAAUCCCCCGGUUCUGACGGGGCCCAAAAAAAAAACACCCGCGCAAAUUGUG
This 490-nucleotide ribosomal RNA is filed under the name uncultured bacterium. RNAcentral describes it as "partial 16S ribosomal RNA". It matches the Rfam family "Bacterial small subunit ribosomal RNA", at positions 29 to 507 of the family's 1533-position model. The record is from RNAcentral.